This 324-nucleotide ribosomal RNA is filed under the name uncultured bacterium. RNAcentral's name for it is "bacterial SSU rRNA". It matches the Rfam family "Bacterial small subunit ribosomal RNA", at positions 28 to 334 of the family's 1533-position model. The record is from RNAcentral.
GACGAACGCUGGCGGCGUGCUUAACACAUGCAAGUCGAACGAGAAUUUUUUAAUAGACUUCUUCGGAAUGAAAUUAAAAAAGGAAAGUAGCGAACGGGUGAGUAACACGUGAGAAACCUGCCUUUCACAAAGGGAUAGCCUCGGGAAACCGGGAUUAAUACCUUAUGACACGGAGAUAUCGCAUGAUAAUUUCGUUAAAGAAUUUCGGUGAAAGAUGGUCUCGCGUCUGGUUAGCUAGUUGGUAAGGUAACGGCUUACCAAGGCGACGAUCAGUAGCCGGAUUGAGAGGUUGAACGGCCACACUGGAACUGAGACACGGUCCAG